CAGUCGUACUUAUGGGUAAUCAGCCUUUUGGGUGUGAUUUUGUGGAGUGUGAGGAGUUAAACGCCUUCAUGCCUGCAUAUCCGUGCACUUUGGGUGUACUUGCCCGUGUGUAAGUUAACAUCAAUUUUGAUUAUCAUAAAAUGAUUGAAGGAAUGUAGCUUCGAUCUCGUAUCGAAGUGUUAUAGACUCUGGUAGAUGUGACGAUUGGGAUUGAGGAUUGCAACGGAUACCCC
Molecule: ribosomal RNA, 233 nt
Filed under: Rhizophagus irregularis
Lineage: Eukaryota; Fungi; Glomeromycota; Glomeromycetes; Glomerales; Glomeraceae
Source: RNAcentral